CACGUAGGCGGAUAUUUAAGUCAGGGGUGAAAUCCCAGAGCUCAACUCUGGAACUGCCCUUGAUACUGGGUAUCUUGAGUAUGGAAGAGGUAAGUGGAAUUCCGAGUGUAGAGGUGAAAUUCGUAGAUAUUCGGAGGAACACCAGUGGCGAAGGCGGCUUACUGGUCCAUUACUGACGCUGAGGUGCGAAAGCGUGGGGAGCAAACA
This 207-nucleotide ribosomal RNA is filed under the name uncultured bacterium. RNAcentral's name for it is "partial 16S ribosomal RNA". It matches the Rfam family "Bacterial small subunit ribosomal RNA", at positions 568 to 774 of the family's 1533-position model. The record is from RNAcentral.